RNAcentral lists this long non-coding RNA (268 nucleotides) under Elaeis guineensis (African oil palm). Its description in RNAcentral is "long non-coding RNA (EGUI_LNC019730)". Lineage: Eukaryota; Viridiplantae; Streptophyta; Magnoliopsida; Arecales; Arecaceae. The record is from RNAcentral.
UGGGAAUGUGGGGUACCAAGUGACUUGAAGAUUAGAGUUAACUAGAUGCAGACUUCUUCGAUGGAACCACCGUAAGGUUGGUGACAUCUUCAAGAGGAUCGAGGGGGUGGACGUGGACAUUAUGGAGCUGCAGCUGAGAAAGGAUCAGGAGGGGGUAUCCAAGAGCAUGAUUUGAGGGAGCUCUGUCACAAGCUCUCAAUGCACUACUCCUUACUUAGACUACAUGAGAUAUUAUGGAGACAGAAGUCUAGAAUUCAAUAGAUUAGGG